RNAcentral lists this ribosomal RNA (378 nucleotides) under uncultured eukaryote. RNAcentral describes it as "SSU rRNA". It matches the Rfam family "Eukaryotic small subunit ribosomal RNA", at positions 587 to 972 of the family's 1831-position model. The record is from RNAcentral.
AGCUCUGUAAGCGUAUACCAAAGUUGUUGCAGUUAAAACGCUCGUAGUCGGACUUUGGCGGGCGACCAGGGGCGUCUUCACGGACGUGUUUUGGUUGGCCGCCUUUGUGGAGGGGGGCCCAGUGGUGCUUCACUGCGCUACUGUGGUCGCUGCCACCUUUUACUGUGAAAAAAUUAGAGUGUUCAAAGCGGGCGUUUGCCAUGAAUACAUUAGCAUGGAAUAAUAGAAUAGGACCUGUCUCCUGUUUUGUUGGUUUGUGAGGAUCGGGUAAUGAUUAAGAGGGACGGUUGGGGGCAUUUGUAUUCCGGCGUCAGAGGUGAAAUUCUUGGAUUGUCGGAAGACAAACGGCUGCGAAAGCGUCUGCCAAGGACGUUUUCA